GGGAUUAUAGUUAACCAUAACAUUUAGUUUGCAUCUAGAAAGUAUUGAAAUAUCAAUUUUUCUC
Molecule: transfer RNA, 64 nt
Filed under: Limbodessus palmulaoides
Lineage: Eukaryota; Metazoa; Arthropoda; Insecta; Coleoptera; Dytiscidae
Description: tRNA-Ala
Source: RNAcentral